Long non-coding RNA from Seriola aureovittata, 1868 nucleotides. RefSeq lists it as uncharacterized. The record is from RefSeq and is a predicted model, not a curated record. The transcript is spliced from 5 exons. Lineage: Eukaryota; Metazoa; Chordata; Actinopteri; Carangiformes; Carangidae.
AGCUGGACGACACUGGACGACAUUUUUCUCCCCGUCGAACGACUGCGGUUGGGACAGUGACCUCAUCGAUUUUGCUGCUGUUACACCUGAUUCCCCCCUCUGGAUGUUUCACUGAGGGAGCCGCAGUUUUGCAGACAGGAACCAACAUCCAAGAACAUCUUGAUUCCGUUACGACAAGCACACAACCCUACCUCCUGGCUGUAGGAUAAAGGAAGAAAGCAGUCCACCAGUUCUUCAUAAUACUUGACAAAAAUGCCAUCGCUUGCAGGUCGGACGAACUGUUUAAGCAGUACAUCAAUCAGCUUUUUGUGCCAGUAUAUCUGCCUGCUUCUCCAAACUGGGAACAUACCGACCCAAAUCUGCUGCAGAAUCCAGCUUUGACAUCGGUGUCUGACAAUAAGGCUGAGGGAACUCCUUUGGUUUGCAUGAUUCACUCCUCAGAUUUUAUUAUUAGUGAUUUAGGAAAAAUACUGACUUUGUACAGAAAUUGCACUGAAACGUCCCUCUAAAUAUAACACAGCUUGCAUUCUUUUCACAGGAGGAAGAAAUAAAUGUGGUUUGACAGGGAAAGAAAUAAUGCACAUAAAAAAUGACUAUGAUUUACCAGGUGAAAUUACAUUUUAAUGGGGUCUUUAUGCAACCAUUCAGAGAUAGGACUGGAUUUAGGAUUUUACUCAUCACUUUACUGACUUCUUAGAUCCUGGUAAUCCUGAGCUCAGAUCAUCAGAUAGAGCACUUGGGACUGACGAGCUAGACUGAAGACAAGGAGUAACCUAGACAAAGUGACUUCACUAAAGGUUUCACUCUGAAGUGUUAUGCAAAACAAAAGUUGCUGUAUUAUCUAGAAAUGAUCCAUAGUGUUAAACAUGUAUAUAUACAGUAUGUAAAUGAGUCUAGAGGAGUUUCCUGCUUGUUAAAUUUUCAUGUAAUACAUUUAGUUUUUGGAUUGUUUUUUGCUGCCUCAAGCUGUAUGUCAUUAUUUCUACUUGCCAAUAUACAGUGGCUCCAGGAAGUAUUCAGACCCUGUAACUUUUUGCACAUUUUAUUGUGUGGUAGAUUUAGUUUUAAAUGGAUAAAAUUGUUAAUUUUUAAAAUGCCCAUCAAUCUUCACCUCAGUGACCCAUAACGAGGUGAAAACAUGUUUUUAGAUUUUUUUUUUUUUUUUGCCAGUAUAUUAAAAAUUAAUCAUGUACAUCAUGUUUGCUUUAUCUGUUAUGUUAGUUUUCUCUUUAACUUCACUGGAGUGAAUUGAUUGGACAUAGUUUUGAGAGGAACACACCUGUAUAUAAAGUAUAUGUUCCCCCAAUUCACACUGCAUGUCAGGAGUAAAACCAAGCCAUGAGGUCAAGAACUCCAUUUCAUCAGGAACUGCCCAUCACCUGACUAAUACCAGGUGGUGGCAGCAUCAUGCUAUUGGGGAACUUCUCAGGGACAGGGAGACUGGUCAGGACUGAGGGGAGGAUAACUGCAGCCAAAUACAGAGAGGUCCUUGAAGAAAACCUGCUCCAGAGUGCACACAACCUGAGAUUGGGGCAAUGGUUCACCUUUCAGCACAACAAUGACAAGCAAACAGCCAAGAAACACUGGAGUUACUAUAAGACAAGUUUCUGACAGUCUUUGAGUGAUCCAGUCCAGACCUGAAGAUGGCAGUUCACAGUUCCCAUCCAGUCUGACAGAGCUCAAGAGGAUCUGCUGGAAAGUCUGGGAUAAACUUCCAAAUCUAGGUGUGCAAAGCUUGUAGAAACUCAAAGACUCAAAGCUGUAAUUGCUGCCAAAGGGGCUUCUACAAAGUACUGCAUUAAGGGUCUGAAUACGUUUAUAAAUUAGAGAUUUAAGUUUUUGAUUUCAAAUAAAUUUGCAAGCAUUUC